AGAAGCGUUACAAAGAGAAAAAAACAGUUUUGAAAUGAAUUGCAAGCUAUACAAUACAAAUUAAAACUACCUUUUUUUUUCUCCUUGCACUAAGUUAGUAGGCAGGAGGAGUAAACUUUGCAGACACAUCUGCCAGUGCAAACAUACUUACCACAUUUAUUUAUAUGGCUGCCUUUAUUUUGAAACAACUAAUUUAUUUUCACAAUGUAUCUGUAGGGUAAACCUAUGAUAGCUGUAACUAUCCCACAAGCAUCGUGAAUUUGUGAUAAUUCAGCAUUUAUUAUAACACUGAAAAGAGGCAGCAUAUGUGAGAAAUCAAUUCAUUUCAUUCCUCCAUUUCCAAGGGUUGAGGAACUUCGGAUAUCAGGAGACACAAACGAUGAAGAAGAUUUUUCUCUUCUGAAACAACUGUUGUGUAUUUGUGUGCAGGUAAACUACAGACUUCCAUCUGAAGGGAGAGGAGAUAAUUUAUUCAGUGAAAAUGUUUAUAAUGCAGAUCCUCGCAAACUACAUUAUCCUAAGGAUUUAAAAAUUCUUAAACUUCAUAAGAAGUGUGCUAACAAGUCAUCUCGAGCUGAAUGAGCUGUACCCUGGCUGAGAAAAUGUCUUCACUGUCAGCUUUCUCAGAUUGUAUAGAAACGUUACUGAAGUCAAUCACAGAACAGGCUAGGAAAUCAAAGGGAUUAGAGCUCUUCCAUUUCAAAGUAUCAGCUACUCCUAAUCUUUCCCGUUGUCAGCUAUCCAAUGAGCUUCAGGUACCAGAAUAGGCUGUAACCUAUGUCAUUUACAGUCUCGUUUUUUCACUGUAGUUGAAUUUUAUUUAAUAAUAAGAAUUACUGUAUUUUAUAUGUAAAGAAAUGAUUUGCAUCAAAAAUUUUACUUGUGCAAGUCAAGCUUGAACUCUUUUGUGCAACAGUGUCUUGAUUGCAUGUUUGGCCAUUUGCAGAAUCAUUUUCCCUUGAAUAUUGUAUUAUAACUUUCUAAACAUGGUAAGCUGAAGACGUUUAGUCAAAUUCAAACUCCAUCUAGACUGUGCCUGCCAGUUACACAGAGAUCUGGAAGUCCUGCAGCCUCUGGUCUUUUCCUAAGGACCCAUCACAGUUCCUGACAUGGUUCCACCUGGGCCCUGCAUGCAACUUUAGCAGGGGACAGUCAGCACAGGCAUUGCACAGUAACUCUCACUUCAACCCUAUGCCUGUCUGCACGAGAGAUUCCACUAUAAGGUGCUGCUGGCCUGCAACCCUCAUAACCCCACAGAAAUCUGCAUGCAGAGAACCUUCAUCAGCAUGAAUUAUUUGUUAAGAUGUUGUUCAUUGAUAAUCAGAACACAGCCACAAAGAGCCUUUAAAAAAGGCUGCCAUCAUUACUUUUGUUUCUCAGUUGGGAUACUGUAACACAUAAAGAUGCAAACUGGUUUGGGGCUUCAUAAUUCUCUUUUAUAAAAAAUGGGCUAUUUUGGUCUAUGGCCCAAAAUACCUAUGGUCAAAGAAAAUAGAAACAAUAGAAUAAGGAACUCCUGAGAUGUGUAUAAUUCUAGCUCAGCUUUUUAUUUACAAAAUAUCGUGUUGCCAUAACACAAUUGAUAUCUACUAUGUGAAAAUAUCUUCCUUGAAAUUCCAUAGUUGAAAUUACUUUCCUUUGAUGACCAUCCGCCUUCCAGCUUGCAACCUAGCUACUUUAUUCUGAAACACAGAAAUAAGGCAAAAUAUCUGCCGAGCCUCCCCCCCCCAUUGUUUCCAAGAGAAAAUGACCACGCUCUUCUACUUCUGUGCUGAGAAUGAUUUAAAUUUGUAUUAGAAAUAAUAAAUUCAAAGCUUUGAAACUUUGCUAUAAAAUUUCAGUACUAACAGAUAUUUCAAAUGCUUUCUGUUUCAGAUUUAUGUUGAAGGUACUCAGUUCCUUUGGGAACAGCUUAUAAGUACUACUGAAUCAUUACUAUUUCUUUACAGUAGGGACUAUUAGCUUCGCAGCAUUUCUGAGACAACUUUAUAGUGGAAACCAAUAGAACAAAGAAAUAUAGAUUCAGGAGGAUCAACACAAUAUCACCAUUAUAAAUUUUGAAUACUGCAACUGCUACUUCUGCCCACCUGGCGGAGCAGUGCUUUCAAAUGAAGUACAAGAAGUUACCCAAAAGAUAAACUACUUUCCCUGCACGUACAUGGAACCUCUUACAGAUGCUUUAUGUUAUUUUAAAACUAACUCUUGAUUUUUCAAUGACUUGUUACUAAUCUUCUCAGGUUUUAAUGUAUGCAAUUUUUCUAUUAGAACUUAGUUAUAAUUUUGAAACUGUUUUUGAAAUUUCCAGAUAGUUAACAUUUACAAGAUGUUUUAUGCAGAUGGUAACAGAAAAUGUAAAGAAUUAUCUUCUCACCUUAACUGCUUCUAGUCAGUACUACACAUGUGGUAGUAAAGAGAUAGAACUGAAGUACAGUCUUACAGAUUCUCUGAUGUUUAUUUUCUCAGCUUCAAUCAUCAAUUAAAACCAUAAAGUCUUACAAAUAAAUACUGCAUGUCAAUUAGCUUAAGCAAUUGUGAUUAAAUAUUUAAAAAUUAUUAAGUAGUUUCUAUGCAGUGAUAAGCUGCAGUGAUGAUUAAUGAAAUGGUGCACACUUCUAAUUACAUCCACACUGUCUUUGGUAACAAUGUCCAGGUGUGCAUUUGAACUCCUGCUCCUAUUGGUGUGCACUAUGCAGCCACACCAUAAAGGCCUUAGGGCCUGCAGCACAUAUAACUGCAUUCACACCACACUUGUACCAUCACGUACUCGGGUGUGAAAGUUGCCAUAGCCCCUUUGUGCUGCUACAGACCUUAAUUGCAUGCACACCAUUCCCAGCCUCCUUCCUCCUGUCCAUCUGCUGGUAAUCUCCCACAUGCCAGUAAUGCCUUUGCCCAUUAGUCACAGGAGGUCUCAGACUGACUUCUGCUCUGAAGUUACUCAUGUUCUCUUUGAAGAGCCUGAUAGUAGAUUGGCACAUAGAGCUGAUAUGUUUGACUUCAUCAUCGCUGUCCCUUUGCAGCAGAGUCUUUUAAGGAGGUAUGAAGACCUUUUGUUUGUUUUGACCAUACAGCUCUCCAGCUGGAAUUAUUGUUCCUCUGUUAAGUAUUGGAGAAGACAUUUAGCAACUGACCCUUGCUGACACUUGUCAUGCCUUUGAGGAAGUUAUGGAUGUCUGCCACGUCUUGUCCCUGGCAGGAGCCAUAAAGGAGCCAAUGUAUACAGAAAAUCAGGGAACCAGGCAGGGAAUGUGUAUGGUCAGGAGAACUUCAGUGUUACUAUUGAGGCGUGCCAAAACAACUUGUGUUGUUAUUUCUAGGUCACAAUAAAAGCAAAACUCUGUUUUUGCAUUUUGCCUAAUUAUCAUCACUUUUAGCUAAAGAAGAGAUGCAGUGUGAAGACAAUGUGCACUGGUUGCCAGUUUCUCACCUCUGCUUGGUAGCUUUGUAUACAAAAUGGAAAGUGCUAGUGCAAACUUGGAUGAUGACUAAAGUAGCUUUUCUCAUAGCAGGAUGUGUUCCUGAUCUGCCUGCUAUUUACAUUACCUAGCUGCAGCUUCUCUCAUCAUUUGUGCUCUAUGCAAGUCUGGAAUUAUUUGCAUUUUAAGGCCAUCGUUGUCACGAAUGUUGAAGUGACUCAUAAUUUGUUAAACAUUUGAGUUGCUGUCAGUAUAAUGGCUGAUUCUGAAAUGCUUCCUUCAAAAAGCUCAACUCAAUUUCCUCUUUUUUUUCCCUAAACUUUUUUUCAGGUUUCUGACAUUUUAUUACUAACGUGCAGAAGUACCGUUAGUUCCACCAGCUUUUAUCCAGGAAACUGAGCAUAAAUCUACACAGGUCUAGUCCAGUCAUCCCAGAAAACUACUGUAAUUAAAGUAUCAAGCUAAUGAGACUCUGUAUGUGUGUUUACACACAAGUCUCUAUGUGCCUCUGUUCAUGUACCUGUCUUGCUCUUGCUCUAACUAUGUCCCUUCUCCCCCCCUUUCCUCCUUGUGCUCCAAAUUCACUUAGGUAUUUCUUCUCCACAUAAACUGGAAAGAGUUUCAACGUUCCCACCCCAUUCCAGGAUGGGAAUUGAGGAAGUUAUUUUAAUAAAAAGGU
Molecule: non-coding RNA, 4092 nt
Organism: Meleagris gallopavo (turkey)
Lineage: Eukaryota; Metazoa; Chordata; Aves; Galliformes; Phasianidae
Source: RefSeq, a predicted model, not a curated record